CUCUUCCGUCUGCCUCCCUGAGUCACGUUCUCCUCUCCAUCAGUCAGGGACGUGGCCCUUGCUGUCCGCGGGCCCCGGGUGGUGGUUCUCUCCUGGGAAGCCUUAGAGUUCUCAUGUCCACCCGCGGAGCGAGAAAGGAUGUGAUUUCCAGGAGCUGCAGCCUAAUGAGAGGACGAAGCCGAUACCUCCUAGAGAGACUGAGAAGGAGCCCGAGACGGGUCGUGGACAUCCCAUGAAUAUCAGAUACCAUAUUUUGGAGGGGUUAGAAGAAGGGGAUAUGGUGGUCACAUUUGCUUCCACGGAUUCCAAUCAAUCUUCCCUUGGAAACACACACACCCUGGCAAGUGAUCUUUCCUAAGCAAGAGCAAAGCUAUUUUAAAAAGGAUCCCAUCCUCCUCCUCCUUCCCUGUGCCCCAGCUCCAC
This 423-nucleotide long non-coding RNA is filed under the name Neogale vison (American mink). RNAcentral describes it as "Neovison vison (American mink) lncRNA (ENSNVIG00000023536.1)". Lineage: Eukaryota; Metazoa; Chordata; Mammalia; Carnivora; Mustelidae. The record is from RNAcentral.